AACAUCCUGAGGAUAUAACGAGCAAUUCGGUAAAAUAAAUUUGUCGGUUUCUUAUACGGUUGCGAAGCCUUAGAGAUAACAAGAAAAACAGUGUUCGGGGAGAUAACUCUUAUAUGGGAACGUAUUCGGUUAAGCAGAGUUGGUUUCAAAAGCGUAUAAACUGUUCGAUAUCAUAUUCCAAAUAUCAAAGCGACAUCUUGCGAAACAAAAAAACAGCGAAGGAAAAAAUUAGGCGGAAGAAAAAAAAAAUAAUUAAAAACCAAUUGUUCAAAGAACAAUUGAAGGUCUUUCAACCAAUAAGGAUCUAUUUUGAUAUAAAAAUAUUAAGAUUCAAUUGAAAAUGUCAGUUCCUAUGUCUUUAUGAUAUAAAAAUAUUAAUUUUGAGCAAAGGUCAAAAUCUAUAACGUCCAAUUAACCUAUGACCUUGACCUCAAUUUCAAGGUCAUAAACUAAGGAUCCCAAAUCAAAAGACCCUAGGUCAGUAUUAUGUAUGGUUAAUGAGUAAUAUCACUUUACGCAUAAUUCUAAAUAUAAGAGGGGCGAAAACUCCAAUUUAUUGUCUACGCACCC
RNAcentral lists this long non-coding RNA (570 nucleotides) under Mytilus galloprovincialis (Mediterranean mussel). The record is from RNAcentral. Lineage: Eukaryota; Metazoa; Mollusca; Bivalvia; Mytilida; Mytilidae.